RNAcentral lists this ribosomal RNA (252 nucleotides) under uncultured bacterium. RNAcentral describes it as "partial 16S ribosomal RNA". It matches the Rfam family "Bacterial small subunit ribosomal RNA", at positions 524 to 776 of the family's 1533-position model. The record is from RNAcentral.
UACGUAGGAUCCGAGCGUUGUCCGGAAUUACUGGGUGUAAGGGCGUGUAGGUGGGUCUCUCAGUCGGUGGUGAAAUCCUGCAGCUUAACUGUAGAAUUGCCCCCGAUACUGGAGAUCUUGAGUGCGGCAGAGGGAGAUGGAAUUCAUGGUGUAGCGGUGAAAUGUGUAGAUAUCAUGAAGAACACCAGUAGCGAAGGCGGUCUCCUGGUCCGUAACUGACACUGAGGCGCGAAAGCUAGGGGAGCAAACAGG